RNAcentral lists this small RNA (171 nucleotides) under Mytilus galloprovincialis (Mediterranean mussel). Lineage: Eukaryota; Metazoa; Mollusca; Bivalvia; Mytilida; Mytilidae. The record is from RNAcentral.
AGAGAUUCUACCACUGCAUCGAGUGUGAUACGAUAUUUAUCCACUCGAGACAGUUAAAUUUUCAAAUUUAAAACGCCAGGCUUGCCGAGCGUUUUAAAUAUUUAAAAUUUAACUGUCGAGAGUGGAUAAAUAUCUUAUUGCACGAGAUGCAGUGGUAGAAUCUGUUUCUCU